UGCCGGUAGGCCCUACCACAUGCAAAGUCGAACGGCAGCACAGAGAAGCUUGCUCCUUGGGUGGCGAGUGGCGGACGGGGAGGAAUACAUCGGAAUCUACUCUGUCGUGGGGGAUAACGUAGGGAAACUUACGCUAAUACCGCAUACGACCUACGGGUGAAAGCAGGGGAUCUUCGGACCUUGCGCGAUUGAAUGAGCCGAUGUCGGAUUAGCUAGUUGGCGGGGUAAAGGCCCACCAAGGCGACGAUCCGUAGCUGGUCUGAGAGGAUGAUCAGCCACACUGGAACUGAGACACGGUCCAGACUCCUACGGGAGGCAGCAGUGGGGAAUAUUGGACAAUGGGCGCAAGCCUGAUCCAGCCAUACCGCGUGGGUGAAGAAGGCCUUCGGGUUGUAAAGCCCUUUUGUUGGGAAAGAAAUCCAG
Molecule: ribosomal RNA, 423 nt
Filed under: Stenotrophomonas maltophilia
Lineage: Bacteria; Pseudomonadati; Pseudomonadota; Gammaproteobacteria; Lysobacterales; Lysobacteraceae
Description: bacterial SSU rRNA
Rfam family: Bacterial small subunit ribosomal RNA
Source: RNAcentral